Molecule: ribosomal RNA, 456 nt
Filed under: Dasychira jankowskii
Lineage: Eukaryota; Metazoa; Arthropoda; Insecta; Lepidoptera; Erebidae
Description: partial large subunit ribosomal RNA
Rfam family: Archaeal large subunit ribosomal RNA (bases 1-114)
Source: RNAcentral
UGCCCACUGAUAAUUUAUUAAAGGGCUGCAGUAAUUUGACUGUACAAAGGUAGCAUAAUCAUUAGUCAUUUAAUUGAUGACUUGUAUGAAAGAUUUAAUGAAAUAUAAACUGUCUUUAUAAUAAAUAUAAAAUUUAAUUUUUUAAUUAAAAAGUUAAAAUAUUUUAAAAAGACGAGAAGACCCUAUAGAGUUUUAUUUAUAAAUUAAUUGUUAUUAUUUUUAAACUUAAAAUUUAAAUUAAUUUGUAAAUUAUGUUGGGGUGAUAAAAAAAUUUAAUUAACUUUUUUUUUUUUUUACAUAAAUAAGUGGUUAAAUGAUCCAUUAGUAUUGAUUAUAAGAAAAAAUUACCUUAGGGAUAACAGCGUAAUUUUUUUUUUUAGUUCAAAUAAAAAAAAAAGUUUGCGACCUCGAUGUUGGAUUAAGAUAAAAUUUAAAUGUAGAAGUUUAAAAUUUUGA